RNAcentral lists this ribosomal RNA (468 nucleotides) under uncultured bacterium. RNAcentral describes it as "partial 16S ribosomal RNA". It matches the Rfam family "Bacterial small subunit ribosomal RNA", at positions 28 to 507 of the family's 1533-position model. The record is from RNAcentral.
GACGAACGCUGGCGGCGUGCUUAACACAUGCAAGUCGAACGGAAAGGCCCUGCUUUUGUGGGGUGCUCGAGUGGCGAACGGGUGAGUAACACGUGAGUAACCUGCCCUUGACUUUGGGAUAACUUCAGGAAACUGGGGCUAAUACCGGAUAGGAGCUCCUGCUGCAUGGUGGGGGUUGGAAAGUUUCGGCGGUUGGGGAUGGACUCGCGGCUUAUCAGCUUGUUGGUGGGGUAGUGGCUUACCAAGGCUUUGACGGGUAGCCGGCCUGAGAGGGUGACCGGCCACAUGGGGACUGAGAUACGGCCCAGACUCCUACGGGAGGCGGCAGUGGGGAAUAUUGCACAAUGGGCGGAAGCCUGAUGCAGCAACGCCGCGUGCGGGAUGACGGCCUUCGGGGUGUAAACCGCUUUCGCCUGUGAGGAAGCGUGAGUGACGGUAAUGGGUAAAGAAGCACCGGCUAACUACGUG